GUGCCAGCCGCCGCGGUAAUACCGGCAGCUCGAGUGAUGUCCAAUAUUAUUGGGCCUAAAGCGUCCGUAGCUGGCCGCGCAAGUCCGUCGGGAAAUCCACCUGCCCAACAGGUGGGCGUCCGGCGGAAACUGUACGGCUUGGGGCCAGAAGACCUGAGGGGUACGUCCGGGGUAGGAGUGAAAUCCUAUAAUCCCGCACGGACCACCGAUGGCGAAAGCACUUCGAGAAAACGGAUCCGACAGUGAGGGACGAAAGCCAGGUUCUCCAACCGGAUUAGAAACCCUAGUAGUCC
RNAcentral lists this ribosomal RNA (293 nucleotides) under uncultured bacterium. RNAcentral's name for it is "partial 16S ribosomal RNA". It matches the Rfam family "Archaeal small subunit ribosomal RNA", at positions 455 to 747 of the family's 1478-position model. The record is from RNAcentral.